GGGCGCACAGGGGCGGCCGUGACCGGUGCAGCUCGGGUCGUCGCUCGGUCCGGCUAGGGCUGCCCAAGAAAGGAGGAUACCCACGCGGCUCCGCGCCCCUCCGCCUGGCCCGACCUCCGACGGAGGGCAGCAGGAGGCGGGGUUGCUACCCUGCUCCGGGGCGGUCCGCGCGGUUCCACGCGCAGCCCAGGGCGGCCUCGGGGCGGGGAAGGGCUGGGGCCGGGCGCCCUCUGGCCGGAGCGUGGGGCAGUGCAGAACCCGCUCCCCCGCCGCCACGUCAGGCCCCGCCACGUCAGGCCCCGCGGGCACGCCCCGGCUGCCCGAGGCCUUGCGGGGUCGGCGCCGAGGUCACUCCCGUGGGCUCUGGAAGCCCUUCUGAGCGGCGUGGCUCUGACCCACCACGUCCUCCGUGCUCUCCACGUCCCCGGGUACACGCGGUGUACUGUGAAAACCGGGAGCCCGGCGAAGGCCGCCGCCGAUGAUGCAGCGAUUAAAGAAAGCUAGGUGCGGAGCACCUGCUGCGGAAAAGGCGCCCGGACCGAGUCCUGAUCUACGCGACAGCGUGCCUCGAGUGGGAAGACUGCCCCAGGUUCAGGGCUCACGUACCGGAUCGCCAUUAGAAAGGGGAAGGGAAACGAAAGAGGGACUGCAUAAAUAAAUGACAGGUGUGCUAAGCUGGUUCAGGAAUUGAGAAUGCACUUGAAAACCACUGUCUUCAGAAGGCGCUGGGACACAGGAGUUCCUUCUGUCACUAAUUAACUGACUGACCUACAUUGUCGCGAAGUAUCCCAGGGCCUUGGUCUUCUCUUCUGUAUAACGAAGAGGCUGGACAGAUCUUCUAAAAGCGUUCCGGCUCUAAAAUUCCAUCAGCCUCUACUUUCAGACCCAGAAGUGACCUUAUAACCUAAUUAAUUUUUUAAAUCACUAUUCAGGUUCAAGAUAGACAAAAUGCUGAAGGUUUGAACUUCGGUAAACCUACCUCUCUAUGUUCGUUCAAAGCUGCUUAGUGUUUUCAAAUCCAGUGUGGGUGAGACUUACCAUGCAUCCUUUAGUGGACCAAAAUCUCCUGAAUUUGAGGUUCCAUAUAGGAACACUGUCAACCUGGUUUGUACAUAACCAGAAUCGGUUGCGGUAUACAUGAUGAACUGGUUAAUUUUUUAAUUAAAAUGUUAUAUACAUCUCUUUAUGGGAGAGGGGGUAUGUGAUGGUCAGAGAACAACUUGCAGAAUUCAGUUCUGUCUUUUCAACAUGUGGAUUCUGGUGGCCAAAGUAGGGCCUCAAGCACUCUUGCCAACUGAGUCAACACGGAAGCCAAUAUUUUAAAGGGUCUUCCCCAUGCUAACCAGGCACUACCGAGAGCUACAUCUUCUACCUAAGCAAUCUCAUUCUUUAAAUGAGAGAACUCAUGACCUCCAGAAUAGAUGGUUCUCCUAGCUGAGAUACUGAUGGAGCUGGGAGAAAAAGGUGCCAGAAAGGUUACAAUUACAGCUGUGCUUACUCUAAAGGAUACUUAGUAACGAGAACCUCACUGAAGGAGAAUUAAGAUGCGCAGUCACGCCCUUGGAACUCUCAACUCCCUACAUUGCUUAUUUGUAUUGUGUUCUAUUUUGCGAACUUAAUUUGAGUCAAAUUUAAGGCCAGUACCAUUUAUCUGGCAUUGCAAAAGUUACUCCAUAUAGAUGAAAAUUUUCAGCUACUUGAAAAGGAAAACUUUCCUUCCCAUGAUCUGAUGGAAAACUCAUGGUCUCUUGAACACAGCUUUCUGGUAAUUAUGUAUAGCUAGUAAUUAAGAAACAUCAAUAAUUAUCAACAUUACUGUGCUCACAAUCUGUGAGUGCCCUCAAAAAUGUGUAGAAUUUAUUCCCGUAAUAAAAGCCCCCACGAUCCCUA
RNAcentral lists this long non-coding RNA (1890 nucleotides) under Mus musculus (house mouse). RNAcentral describes it as "predicted gene 6658 (Gm6658)". The record is from RNAcentral. Lineage: Eukaryota; Metazoa; Chordata; Mammalia; Rodentia; Muridae.